This is a non-coding RNA of Dipodomys ordii (Ord's kangaroo rat), 65 nucleotides long. Lineage: Eukaryota; Metazoa; Chordata; Mammalia; Rodentia; Heteromyidae. The record is from Rfam.
GGUGGCUCAGUGGUAGAGCGCUUGCCUUGUAUGCAUGAGGGUCUGUAUUCAAUUUCUCAGCACCA